This 450-nucleotide ribosomal RNA is filed under the name uncultured bacterium. Its description in RNAcentral is "partial 16S ribosomal RNA". It matches the Rfam family "Bacterial small subunit ribosomal RNA", at positions 354 to 796 of the family's 1533-position model. The record is from RNAcentral.
GUGGGGAAUUUUGGACAAUGGGCGCAAGCCUGAUCCAGCAAUGCCGCGUGCAGGAAGAAGGCCUUCGGGUUGUAAACUGCUUUUGUACGGAACGAAACGGUCCUGGUUAAUACCUGGGGCUAAUGACGGUACCGUAAGAAUAAGCACCGGCUAACUACGUGCCAGCAGCCGCGGUAAUACGUAGGGUGCGAGCGUUAAUCGGAAUUACUGGGCGUAAAGCGUGCGCAGUCGGUUUUGUAAGACAGGCGUGAAAUCCCCGGGCUCAACCUGGGAAUUGCGCUUGUGACUGCAAGGCUGGAGUGCGGCAGAGGGGGAUGGAAUUCCGCGUGUAGCAGUGAAAUGCGUAGAUAUGCGGAGGAACACCGAUGGCGAAGGCAAUCCCCUGGGCCUGCACUGACGCUCAUGCACGAAAGCGUGGGGAGCAAACAGGAUUAGAUACCCUAGUAGUCC